Lycium barbarum (goji berry) is the source of this 100-nucleotide small nuclear RNA. Lineage: Eukaryota; Viridiplantae; Streptophyta; Magnoliopsida; Solanales; Solanaceae. The record is from RefSeq and is a predicted model, not a curated record.
GUCCCUUUGGGGGCAUCCAAUGAAAUUGGAAUGAUACAACGAAGAUUAGCAUGGCCUGUACAAGAAUGAUGCGCGCAAAUUCAAGAAUUUCCAUGCGUUC